CUCGAAUUAAAAAGAGCUAUAAUUAUAGAAAUUUAAUUGUUGCAUAACUUUUUAUAAUAUAAUUAUAGAAAUGAAACGUUAGUCGUUUUUUAAGAUAUCUAGUUUCUUAAGAAAUAAAUUCAAUUUAGUUUUUUUAAUUUUAUAUGUGAUUAAUUUUGUAGUUACAUAUUUAAAAAAUGUAAUAUUUUAAGGGAUGAGCUUUAAAAUAAAUUAUUAAAAAUCAAGUAUAGUUGAAUAGAAAAUUGGUAGGAUUGGAAAUGUUUAUCUGUAGUUUGUUAUAAUUAAUUUUUUAUUGAAUAAGAUUUAUAUAGAUUUUAAUUAAUUUAUUAAGAAUAUAUAUAUAAUAUUAUAUUAUAUGGUAUAAUGAUAAAAUUAGUAUAGAUUAUUGUAUAGAGUAGUUUAUGAUUUAGGUUAAGUUAAGGAACUCGGCAAAUCUAUUUUCCGCCUGUUUAUUAAAAACAUGUCUUUUUGAUUAUAAUUUAAAGUCUAACCUGCCCAAUGAGGAGUUAAAUGGCCGCGGUACACUGACCGUGCAAAGGUAGCAUAAUCAUUAGUUUUUUAAUUGAAAGCUGGAAUGAACGGUUGGACGAGAAAAUAACUGUCUCAAUUUAAUUUUUAAUAGAAUUUUAUUUAUAAGUAAAAAAGCUUAUAUAAAUUUAAAAGACGAGAAGACCCUAUAGAAUUUUAUAUUUAUAUAUAUAUAUAUAUUAUUAGAAUAUGGGAUUAUGUGUAUAUAUGUACGUAUUUUGUUGGGGCGAUGGAAAAAUUUAAUAAACUUUUUUUAUAUUAAAACAUUGAUUUAUGUGUAAGUGAUCCGUUUUUUACGAUUAUAAGAUUAAAUUACCUUAGGGAUAACAGCGUAAUUUUUUUCUAGAGUUCUUAUCGAAAAAAGAGUUUGCGACCUCGAUGUUGGAUUAAAAUUAACUUUUGGUGUAGGGGCUAAAAGGUUAGGUCUGUUCGA
RNAcentral lists this ribosomal RNA (961 nucleotides) under Chalcosoma atlas mantetsu. RNAcentral's name for it is "partial 16S ribosomal RNA". Lineage: Eukaryota; Metazoa; Arthropoda; Insecta; Coleoptera; Scarabaeidae. The record is from RNAcentral.